RNAcentral lists this ribosomal RNA (876 nucleotides) under Maublancomyces gigas. RNAcentral describes it as "Gyromitra gigas partial 28S ribosomal RNA". It matches the Rfam family "Eukaryotic large subunit ribosomal RNA", at positions 75 to 960 of the family's 3401-position model. The record is from RNAcentral. Lineage: Eukaryota; Fungi; Ascomycota; Pezizomycetes; Pezizales; Discinaceae.
UUGCCUCAGUAACGGCGAGUGAAGCGGCAACAGCUCAAAUUUUAAAGCUGGCGUCCUCGACGCCCGCGUUGUAAUUUGGAGAGGCAUCUUCGGUUUGGGCGCCAGCCUAUGUUCCUUGGAACAGGACGUCACAGAGGGUGAGAAUCCCGUGCUUGGCUGGCUGUCCCUCUCCAUGUGAAGUGUCUUCGACGAGUCGAGUUGUUUGGGAAUGCAGCUCAAAAUGGGUGGUAAAUUUCAUCUAAAGCUAAAUAUUGGCGGGAGACCGAUAGCGCACAAGUAGAGUGAUCGAAAGAUGAAAAGCACUUUGAAAAUAGAGUUAAAAAGUACGUGAAAUUGUUGAAAGGGAAGCGCUUGAGACCAGACUCGGCCGGAGACGAUCAGCGGUCCUUUUGGGCCGUGCACUCGUCCUCGGUUGGGCCAGCAUCGGUUGAGACGGUGGGAUAAAGGUCUGGGGAAUGUGGCUCCUUUCGGGGAGUGUUAUAGCCCCGGGCGCAAUGCCGCCAGCCUCGACCGAGGACCGCGCUCUUUUGCUAGGAUGCUGGCGUAAUGGUCUUCAGCGACCCGUCUUGAAACACGGACCAAGGAGUCUAACAUCUAUGCGAGUGUUUGGGUGUCAAACCCUUGCGCGUAAUGAAAGUGAACGUGGGUGGGAACCUCUCGUAAGGGGGGCGCACCAUCGACCGAUCCUGAUGUCUUCGGAUGGAUUUGAGUAGGAGCAUAGCUGUUGGGACCCGAAAGAUGGUGAACUAUGCCUGAAUAGGGUGAAGCCAGAGGAAACUCUGGUGGAGGCUCGCAGCGGUUCUGACGUGCAAAUCGAUCGUCAAAUUUGGGUAUAGGGGCGAAAGACUAAUCGAACCAUCUAGUAGCUGGUUCCUG